Molecule: ribosomal RNA, 433 nt
Filed under: uncultured bacterium
Lineage: Bacteria
Description: partial 16S ribosomal RNA
Rfam family: Bacterial small subunit ribosomal RNA
Source: RNAcentral
AACGAACGCUGGCGGCAUGCCUAACACAUGCAGGUCGAACGAGACCUUCGGGUCUAGUGGCGCACGGGUGCGUAACACGUGGGAAUCUGCCCUUUGCUUCGGAAUAACAGUUAGAAAUGACUGCUAAUACCGGAUGAUGUCGAAAGACCAAAGAUUUAUCGGCAAAGGAUGAGCCCGCGUAGGAUUAGGUAGUUGGUGGGGUAAAGGCCUACCAAGCCGACGAUCCUUAGCUGGUCUGAGGGGAUGAUCAGCCACACUGGGACUGAGACACGGCCCAGACUCCUACGGGAGGCAGCAGUGGGGAAUAUUGGACAAUGGGCGAAAGCCUGAUCCAGCAAUGCCGCGUGAGUGAUGAAGGCCUUAGGGUUGUAAAGCUCUUUUACCAGGGAUGAUAAUGACAGUACCUGGAGAAUAAGCUCCGGCUAACUCCGUG